GAUGAACGCUGGCGGCGUGCCUAAUACAUGCAAGUCGAGCGAACAGACGAGGAGCUUGCUCCUCUGACGUUAGCGGCGGACGGGUGAGUAACACGUGGAUAACCUACCUAUAAGACUGGGAUAACUUCGGGAAACCGGAGCUAAUACCGGAUAAUAUAUUGAACCGCAUGGUUCAAUAGUGAAAGACGGUUUUGCUGUCACUUAUAGAUGGAUCCGCGCCGCAUUAGCUAGUUGGUAAGGUAACGGCUUACCAAGGCAACGAUGCGUAGCCGACCUGAGAGGGGAUCCGGCCCACUGGAACUGAGACACGGUCCCAACCCCUACGGGGGGGCACAGGGGGGAAUCUUGCCCAAUGGGGGGAAACCUGAACCAGGCAACCCGGGUGGGUGAAGAAGGGCUUCGGGUUUGAAAACCCUUUUUUUUGGGAAAAAAAAAAGGGGGAUAAAACCCUGCUGUUCUGACGGUACCCAAAGAAAAAGCCCCGGCUAACUUCGUG
Molecule: ribosomal RNA, 496 nt
Filed under: uncultured bacterium
Lineage: Bacteria
Description: partial 16S ribosomal RNA
Rfam family: Bacterial small subunit ribosomal RNA
Source: RNAcentral